ACUCACACACACACACACACACACAGAUGUGAUUGAAUAAUGAUGAAUAGUUUGGUGUGAAUGCUGUUACUGUA
Pangasianodon gigas (Mekong giant catfish) is the source of this 74-nucleotide non-coding RNA. The record is from the annotation of a GenBank genome assembly. Lineage: Eukaryota; Metazoa; Chordata; Actinopteri; Siluriformes; Pangasiidae.